GGGUGAAGUGAGGAAUCUCAAUCCAUAAACCAAUCUCUGCAUCUUCAGUAUGAUGAUUGCCAAAAUUACAUGCACUACCAUCUGAUCUCCC
RNAcentral lists this small nucleolar RNA (91 nucleotides) under Setaria italica (foxtail millet). Lineage: Eukaryota; Viridiplantae; Streptophyta; Magnoliopsida; Poales; Poaceae. RNAcentral also lists the same sequence under 1 other name. The record is from RNAcentral.